UACGGGGGGGGCAAGCGUUGUUCGGAAUUACUGGGCGUAAAGGGCUCGUAGGCGGCCCUCUCAGUCGGAUGUGAAAUCCCCAGGCUUAACCUGGGAACGGCAUCCGAUACUGGAGGGCUUGAAUUCGGGAGAGGGAUGUAGAAUUCCAGGUGUAGCGGUGAAAUGCGUAGAUAUCUGGAGGAAUACCGGUGGCGAAGGCGGCAUCCUGGACCAUUACUGACGCUGAGGCGCGAAAGCUAGGGGAGCAAACGGG
This 253-nucleotide ribosomal RNA is filed under the name uncultured bacterium. RNAcentral describes it as "partial 16S ribosomal RNA". It matches the Rfam family "Bacterial small subunit ribosomal RNA", at positions 524 to 776 of the family's 1533-position model. The record is from RNAcentral.